Molecule: unclassified non-coding RNA, 201 nt
Filed under: Lactobacillus helveticus
Lineage: Bacteria; Bacillati; Bacillota; Bacilli; Lactobacillales; Lactobacillaceae
Description: partial 16S-23S intergenic spacer
Source: RNAcentral
GGAAGCUGGAAGUUGAUGGAGAGUAAGAACUAGGAGAACUCACAAAAGCGAGCGGAAGCACACGGAGAAACUUUGUUUAUUUUUGAGGGUAGUUACCCUCAAAAGAGCUACGUACAUUGAAAAAACUGAAUAUAAUUCCCAAGCAAAAAAACCGAGAAAAUCCAAAGAGAACAGAUUUGCAAGGCGACCCGAGAAGAGAAU